UAGUCAUAUGCUUGUCUCAAAGAUUAAGCCAUGCAUGUCUAAGUACAUACUGUUUAUAAAGUGAAACCGCGAAUGGCUCAUUAAAUCAGUUACGGUUCCUCGGAUAUUCUUUUUUACAUGGAUAACUGUGGUAAUUCUAGAGCUCAUACAUGAACAAGUGUUCCAACCUCAGCUUGCUGACGGAAGGAUCGCAUUUAUUAGUACAAGACCAAUGAUUCUUAUUCACCUAGAACCCUGGGCAGUGAUUUCGGUCGCUGUCUAAGGACUAGCAGUGGGGAUCUUAGCAACUUCGGUUGCAUUUCUUGUGAUGACUCUGAAUAACUGAGCAAAUCGUAUGGCCUCUGAGCCGACGAUGUAUCCCUCAAGCAACUGCCUUAUCAACUGUCGAUGGUAGGUUAUGCGCCUACCAUGGUUGUAACGGGUAACGGGGAAUUAAGGUUCGAUUCCGAUUUCAAAAAUUAUUUUAUUUUGUAAAUUAAAGAUUGCUUGAGAGUCCCUAGGGAUUCACUUGUAUCACUCUGUGGUAUGACAAAUGAACUAGGGACGUGGUCUCAGUUACAAGAGUUGGGAAGUGUGGUGGACUUCCCAUAGAAAUAACCCUUUCGAUCCGGUUGGUAUCGAAGGGUGUACAA
This 632-nucleotide ribosomal RNA is filed under the name Tetranychus urticae (two-spotted spider mite). Its description in RNAcentral is "rRNA tetur06g06559". It matches the Rfam family "Eukaryotic small subunit ribosomal RNA", at positions 21 to 424 of the family's 1831-position model. The record is from RNAcentral. Lineage: Eukaryota; Metazoa; Arthropoda; Arachnida; Trombidiformes; Tetranychidae.